RNAcentral lists this ribosomal RNA (119 nucleotides) under Triticum dicoccoides. The record is from RNAcentral. Lineage: Eukaryota; Viridiplantae; Streptophyta; Magnoliopsida; Poales; Poaceae.
GGAUGCGAUCAUACCAGCACUAAAGCAUCGGAUCCCAUCAGAACUCCAAAGUUAAGCGUGCUUGGGCGAGAGUAGUAAUAGGAUGGGUGACCUCCUGGGAAGUCCUUGUGUUGCAUUCC